RNAcentral lists this ribosomal RNA (503 nucleotides) under Coriobacteriaceae bacterium BL59. RNAcentral's name for it is "bacterial SSU rRNA". It matches the Rfam family "Bacterial small subunit ribosomal RNA", at positions 8 to 521 of the family's 1533-position model. Lineage: Bacteria; Bacillati; Actinomycetota; Coriobacteriia; Coriobacteriales; Coriobacteriaceae. The record is from RNAcentral.
AGAGUUUGAUCCUGGCUCAGGAUGAACGCUGGCGGCGCGCCUAACACAUGCAAGUCGAACGGUUAAAGCACCUCCGGGUGUGUAUAAAGUGGCGAACGGCUGAGUAACACGUGGGCAACCUGCCCCUCGCACCGGGACAGCCUCGGGAAACCGUGGAUAAUACCGGAUACUCCGGACCCCCCGCAUGGGGGGACCGGGAAAGCCCAGACGGCGAGGGAUGGGCCCGCGGCCUGUUAGCUAGUUGGUGGGGCAACGGCCCACCAAGGCGAUUAUGGGUAGCUGGGUUGAGAGACCGACCAGCCAGAUUGGGACUGAGACACGGCCCAGACUCCUACGGGAGGCAGCAGUGGGGAAUCUUGCGCAAUGGGCGAAAGCCUGACGCAGCGACGCCGCGUGCGGGACGAAGGCCUUCGGGUCGUAAACCGCUUUCAGCAGGGACGAGGGGGAAACCUGACGGUACCUGCAGAAGAAGCCCCGGCUAACUACGUGCCAGCAGCCGCGGU